ACAUACCGAAAGGUAUGCUAAUACGUGAUAACAUGUAAUGAUCGCAUGGUCGAUACAUCAAAGCUCCGGCGGUACAGGAUGGACCCGCGUCUGAUUAGCUAGUUGGUGAGGUAAUGGCUCACCAAGGCGACGAUCAGUAGCCGACCUGAGAGGGUGAUCGGCCACAUUGGAAGUGAGACACGGUCCAAACUCCUACGGGAGGCAGCAGUGGGGAAUAUUGCACAGUGGGCGAAAGCCUGAGCGAGCGAACGCCGC
RNAcentral lists this ribosomal RNA (255 nucleotides) under uncultured bacterium. RNAcentral describes it as "partial 16S ribosomal RNA". It matches the Rfam family "Bacterial small subunit ribosomal RNA", at positions 146 to 400 of the family's 1533-position model. The record is from RNAcentral.